RNAcentral lists this ribosomal RNA (550 nucleotides) under uncultured bacterium. RNAcentral describes it as "bacterial SSU rRNA". It matches the Rfam family "Bacterial small subunit ribosomal RNA", at positions 355 to 896 of the family's 1533-position model. The record is from RNAcentral.
UAGGGAAUCUUCGGCAAUGGGGGCAACCCUGACCGAGCAACGCCGCGUGAGUGAAGAAGGUUUUCGGAUCGUAAAGCUCUGUUGUAAGAGAAGAACGAGUGUGAGAGUGGAAAGUUCACACUGUGACGGUAACUUACCAGAAAGGGACGGCUAACUACGUGCCAGCAGCCGCGGUAAUACGUAGGUCCCGAGCGUUAUCCGGAUUUAUUGGGCGUAAAGCGAGCGCAGGCGGUUAGAUAAGUCUGAAGUUAAAGGCUGUGGCUUAACCAUAGUACGCUUUGGAAACUGUUUAACUUGAGUGCAGAAGGGGAGAGUGGAAUUCCAUGUGUAGCGGUGAAAUGCGUAGAUAUAUGGAGGAACACCGGUGGCGAAAGCGGCUCUCUGGUCUGUAACUGACGCUGAGGCUCGAAAGCGUGGGGAGCAAACAGGAUUAGAUACCCUGGUAGUCCACGCCGUAAACGAUGAGUGCUAGGUGUUGGGUCCUUUCCGGGGCUCAGUGCCGCAGCUAACGCAUUAAGCACUCCGCCUGGGGAGUACNACCGCAAGGUUG